This 424-nucleotide ribosomal RNA is filed under the name Eucinostomus jonesii. RNAcentral's name for it is "partial 12S ribosomal RNA". It matches the Rfam family "Bacterial small subunit ribosomal RNA", at positions 772 to 1398 of the family's 1533-position model. Lineage: Eukaryota; Metazoa; Chordata; Actinopteri; Gerreiformes; Gerreidae. The record is from RNAcentral.
CUGGGAUUAGAUACCCCACUAUGCUUAGCCCUAAAUACAGAUAAAAUUACACUUUACUUUAUCCGCCCGGGUACUACGAGCAUUAGCUUGAAACCCAAAGGACUUGGCGGUGCUUUAGACCCAUCUAGAGGAGCCUGUUCUAUAACCGAUAUUCCCCGUUGAACCUCACCCUUCCUUGCUCUUACCGCCUAUAUACCGCCGUCGUAAGCUUACCCUGUGAAGGAUAAACAGUAAGCUUAAUUGGUACAGCCCAAAACGUCAGGUCGAGGUGUAGCUUAUGGAGGGGGAAGAAAUGGGCUACAUUCCCUAAUAUAGGGCACACGGAUAAUGCACUGAAACGUGCGUAAGAAGGUGGAUUUAGUAGUAAGCAGAGGAUAGAGUUUUCUGCUGAAACCGGCCCUGAAGCGUGCACACACCGCCCGUC